AUUUUUCCUUACUCACUAGCCUUGAAAGAAUUGAAAGAAAUUGAAAGAAAUUUCUUUCUAUUGAAAGAAAUAAUAGAAAUGUUUAUUUUAGGCUCAUUAGGAGAUAGGUCCAUUCUGUCAAGAUUAUGAUCUUUUAUUGAAUGGAGUUUCAUCUCAAAUGAUUUUACUUCUUCAAGCAAAUGUUUCUGCAGAUCUUGGGCCCAAGGGAAAGCAACAACACCAGCCCCUAAGCUAAACUGGCAGAGUGAGACAUGUUUGAUUACUAAAUAGGAAGGUACCAGUUUUGGUACCCCUUAAUCCCAUGUACUUGCCACAUACCGGGAGCACACAGC
RNAcentral lists this long non-coding RNA (332 nucleotides) under Gallus gallus (chicken). Lineage: Eukaryota; Metazoa; Chordata; Aves; Galliformes; Phasianidae. The record is from RNAcentral.